UACAGAGGGUGCGAGCGUUGUCCGGAAUCACUGGGCGUAAAGGGCGCGUAGGUGGCGACCCAAGUCUGGGGUGAAAGCUCGAUGCUCAACAUCGAGUCGGCCACGGAGACUGGGUGGCUCGAGCACUGUAGGGGCAGAUGGAAUUCCGGGUGUAGCGGUGGAAUGCGUAGAGAUCCGGAAGAACACCGGUGGCGAAGGCGGUCUGCUGGGCAGUAGCUGACACUGAGGCGCGACAGCGUGGGGAGCAAACAGG
This 253-nucleotide ribosomal RNA is filed under the name uncultured bacterium. Its description in RNAcentral is "partial 16S ribosomal RNA". It matches the Rfam family "Bacterial small subunit ribosomal RNA", at positions 524 to 776 of the family's 1533-position model. The record is from RNAcentral.